UACGUAGGGUGCGAGCGUUGUCCGGAAUUACUGGGCGUAAAGAGCUCGUAGGUGGUUUGUCGCGUUGUCCGUGAAAUUCCCUGGCUUAACUGGGGGCGUGCGGGCGAUACGGGCAGACUGGAGUACUGCAGGGGAGACUGGAAUUCCUGGUGUAGCGGUGAAAUGCGCAGACAUCAGGAGGAACGACCGGUGGCGAAGGCGGGUCUCUGGG
Molecule: ribosomal RNA, 211 nt
Filed under: uncultured bacterium
Lineage: Bacteria
Description: partial 16S ribosomal RNA
Rfam family: Bacterial small subunit ribosomal RNA
Source: RNAcentral